Molecule: long non-coding RNA, 698 nt
Organism: Hemicordylus capensis (graceful crag lizard)
Lineage: Eukaryota; Metazoa; Chordata; Lepidosauria; Squamata; Cordylidae
Exons: 3
Source: RefSeq, a predicted model, not a curated record
CGGCAUGCAGAGGCCUCUCGCUGCCUCUUGUUUCCUCCUCACACGUUCUCUGCUUCCUGUUUUCGGAAGAACUGCGAUGUCGGUAGCGGAUGGUGAGAACUGCCAGGAAUGGAAAUGAGUCUGCACAGCUCCAAAUUAGGUUAUGAGGAGACAAAGGAUGAGGAAUCAAGGAAGAGGAGGCAAGCCGGAAACCACAACUAAGUCAUCCCUAGAGGCAGCACCUUCUUGCUCCAUUGCAACCCAGCUAGAUGCACGUCAUAGAUCCGAAUGCUGGACACUCAGAAUGGAACAUGGCCAGAUGCAGAUACAGAGGAAUGAAUUUAAGCUGGUGAAGUUAGCAGUGUUCUAGCUCAUCUGGGGGCCAUGCAAGAGAGAGCCUUCUCGUCCAUGGUGGCCCCUGCCCUGUGGAGCUCUCUGCCCUGGGAGAUCAGGUUGGCGUCCACUCCCCCUCUUUUAACUUUCUGGAAGGUUGUAAAGAGCUGCCUGCUCCAGCAAGCCUUGUGCCCCAUCUCUCACCUAUGAUCGGUUUUAAACAGCUCUUCAUUAUUUUUAUCUCAGUCUGCCAUUUUGUGCAUGCUUUUACAUUGUAUUUCUGUUAUAGUUAUGUUUUUAUUGCUAUUUGCAGAUUAAGCUGCUUUAGCUCUGCAAAAAGAAAUGUGGAAUAUGAUAUUUAUACAAUAUAUAUAUGGUAACCAAAA